This 541-nucleotide long non-coding RNA is filed under the name Pan troglodytes (chimpanzee). RNAcentral describes it as "lincRNA". The record is from RNAcentral. Lineage: Eukaryota; Metazoa; Chordata; Mammalia; Primates; Hominidae.
ACCUUACAGUUUGGCUUUUUGUGUAUCCCCCGAGAGGUAGAGAAUAUAGAACCUUCUGAGCCCCAAAGAGGACAUGGGGCACUGAUGGCAAGAGACCAGCUUUCUUCUAGCAGAGAUUGGGCCUGAGGAAGAGCCCAGAGCUUAAUGCAAGCCCCUGAAUGGGGCUCAGACAAGGCCCGUGGAAGUUCUUUGGGGGACCAUAUCGCUCAAAAGGAAGGUCUGUUUGGGGACGUUUCCUCCCUGGUAUGAAAGGUGGCACCGGAGACCAAGAGAAGAGACCAGCUAAGCCCUGGGGAGAAGGCAGUUUGGCUAAGAACUCGCCAGCUGGAUCGGCCUCCCCGAUCCCUGGCCAGGGCCGCAGCAGUGACCAACCGUCCCUGGCCAAAGCUGCUCUACGCCGGCCGGCAGUGCCCACUCCCCGGGGGACUCCCGGACCCCAGCCAGGAAGAGCAGACACCACGUCUGAGCCUGGAGCUAGACAGUCACCCCACAGCAGGCAGCUUGCACCGUUUAGUCUCGGCUCCCUCCGUCCUCUGUGGCU